CCGGCGCAAGCAUCAGUGCAUCACCAUAUAGAUACCUAAACAGGGUGAUGCUCGUAGUCAUCCAUAUCCUCACUCAUGGGGGCCGGGCCAAAGAAACCACUCAUCACAGUCCAAAGAAUUGAUGCAUCAUGCUUCAUGUGAAAGUGAGUAUCUCAAAUCUCUAGGUUAUUCUAUGUUCCAUCAAUCGAUCAGCAUGUGGGUUCAUUUUUCUUUCACUCUCCUCCACUUUCUUCCCAGGCCAGCCAGCAACCGCAUGUGCAACUUUUCAGAAUCCACCCACACAUCCACUCUCUCUCUGUACUCCUUUUUCUAACUUUAGCUUUUGGCAGCAAAUUAACGGUAAUUAUUACUUUGUAACACAUUGACAUUGGAUCAAACCAAUGGAUCUCUUUCUCCUCCAUUAUCUUCUUCCUCGCAAACUUACAGCCCAUUUGCAGAUUGUAGGUUGGAAGAUGGUGGGGCAUAUAAUUUAAAGAAACUGCUGAUACGCAUAUGACAUAUAUGACAGUCUCCCAAGCCCCAUUCCUCUUGUGACCUAAAAGUAUUAAUGAGUUUCAUUUCAUCGUCACUUUAUUUAAUACUGAAGUGAGAUCCAAGGCAUCAGUAAGUGUAGUAGUAGUAUUCAAUCAACCUCACUCAACAAAAACUUUGACCAUGUCUCUUCUC
This 666-nucleotide long non-coding RNA is filed under the name Citrus maxima (pomelo). Its description in RNAcentral is "long non-coding RNA (CMAX_LNC003557)". Lineage: Eukaryota; Viridiplantae; Streptophyta; Magnoliopsida; Sapindales; Rutaceae. The record is from RNAcentral.